UAUCUCAUUUAAGCCAGUGACACCCCCCCCCCCCCCCAGGAGUAUGUUCUUGUCCUUGUUUUAUGGACGGAAACCCCGAGGACAGGAGGGAUUAACCCGACAUCAGUGGCGACGCCAACCCAGCUCGUCUGAUUCCAGACACUGUUCUUUUAAUACAUAUUACUUAUGCCUGGGAGCCAGACGGUUUGAUGAAAACAAAGCAGUUGAGUUCUGCAAUAUUUAUAAAGAAAUUGGUGAACAUGGGGACCACAGUGGAAUUCAGUGGAACGCACAGUGGUUCUCUAUUGAUGGACUUAAAAACAGGGAGAUGGUGUGGAAAGGGCAGGCAGGUUUACAUUUCUUUCAUCCCUUUUGGGGUGAACACGUUGAUACAUAAAAUUCAAGCGAAGAA
Pipistrellus kuhlii (Kuhl's pipistrelle) is the source of this 391-nucleotide long non-coding RNA. RefSeq lists it as uncharacterized. The transcript is spliced from 2 exons. Lineage: Eukaryota; Metazoa; Chordata; Mammalia; Chiroptera; Vespertilionidae. The record is from RefSeq and is a predicted model, not a curated record.